UACAGAGGGUGCAAGCGUUAAUCGGAAUUACUGGGCGUAAAGCGCGCGUAGGUGGUUUGUUAAGUUGGAUGUGAAAGCCCCGGGCUCAACCUGGGAACUGCAUCCAAAACUGGCAAGCUAGAGUACGGUAGAGGGUGGUGGAAUUUCCUGUGUAGCGGUGAAAUGCGUAGAUAUAGGAAGGAACACCAGUGGCGAAGGCGACUACCUGGACUGAUACUGACACUGAGGUGCGAAAGCGUGGGGAGCAAACAGG
RNAcentral lists this ribosomal RNA (253 nucleotides) under uncultured bacterium. RNAcentral's name for it is "partial 16S ribosomal RNA". It matches the Rfam family "Bacterial small subunit ribosomal RNA", at positions 524 to 776 of the family's 1533-position model. The record is from RNAcentral.